UAUCCUCUGCCGCCGGGCAGAAAACUGUGCAUCGGUUCCGUAUCGUUAGGCCUUAGAAGAUACGGGGUGACCGAUGUAUUUUCUU
This 85-nucleotide non-coding RNA is filed under the name unclassified sequences. The record is from RNAcentral.